AAAUGAAAUUAAUCAAUGGCGAUCAUUAUCUAAAACUCAUUCAUUUGCCAUUUGGACAUGCAGUUCCAUAGCUAGGAUCCUUCAGACUCGAGCAAGCUCUAUUGAAGUAGAACUCUUCAAGUUACUGCUGAAUUGAAGAGUUGGAGUUCGCUACAAUACAAAAGAAUCAAUGAAUUUGAUUUGAAGAAAGAGUCUAAAGAAGCAAGGAGUUUGAAUGGAAGAAGGAGUCUUAGAAAUCUAAGUCAAGAGAGUUCAAGUCAAUGAGGAGUUUGAAGUGAACAAUAACUCUAUGAAUAAUUGUGCUUAAAUAGAGAUGAAGUCGUCCAGAAUACUUGUGAACAUGAAUAUAAGCUCCAGUCAGAAUGUGUAAUUGCUGUAUCUUAGGGUUGUCAAAAUGUAAGAAAAAUUCCUGUAUAGAAUGCUAUUUGGUAACAAAAAGAUAUAUUUAUUAUAUCAUAAAAAUAUUGAUUGAAGCAGAAUGCGACAUAUAUAAUAUACAUCAUUCUUGCUAGCUCUAGUAUAUGAACUUCCUUGAAGAGAUGUAUACAUAUUUUUUGGAUCAUUUUAAAAUAUAUUAGUCAAAGCUA
Molecule: long non-coding RNA, 587 nt
Organism: Solanum tuberosum (potato)
Lineage: Eukaryota; Viridiplantae; Streptophyta; Magnoliopsida; Solanales; Solanaceae
Exons: 2
Source: RefSeq, a predicted model, not a curated record